RNAcentral lists this ribosomal RNA (6097 nucleotides) under Triticum aestivum (bread wheat). Its description in RNAcentral is "partial small subunit ribosomal RNA". Lineage: Eukaryota; Viridiplantae; Streptophyta; Magnoliopsida; Poales; Poaceae. The record is from RNAcentral.
GACGCGCACCGCCUCCGCACCGCAGCCCUCACUUGUCCCCAUCCCCCUUCCCUCUCUCCGCGCCGCCGCUCCCCGCCUCCCCUCCUCGCCGCCGCGCCCCUCCCCGGAUCCCGGCCGCCUCCGCGGACGGCGCAUCCGAGGCGGAAGCCAUGAGCGACGGCGAGCGCGACGAAGACGACGUUGCGACCACAAGCGCCGCAGAUGACGACGACGACGACGAUUACGAGGAGCCUGGCGGAGGGAAUCGCCUCCUGGGGUUUAUGUUCGGCAACGUCGACGAUGCUGGUGACCUGGACGCUGACUACCUCGACGAGGAUGCGAAGGACCAUCUUUUUGCGCUGGCAGACAAGCUUGGUCCAUCACUGAAAGACAUUGAUCUAACUAAGUCUUCCUCAGUUCCAGAUGAUCCUUAUGAGCAAGACUAUGAUGAGAAAGCGGAAGAUGCUAUUGACUAUGAAGAUAUUGAUGAACAAUAUGAUGGACCUGAAGUUGAAGCAGCUACGGAGGAAGAUCAUUUGCUAUCGAAGAAAGAUUACUUAUCCUCAAACACAAUGUUUGCUUCGGUCUGCAGUGAAGUUUCAGUGUUUGAUGAGGAGAACUAUGAUGAGGAUGAAGAACCACCCAAUGAUAUGGAGUUACCUGGUGAUUAUUUUAUACAAGCUGAGCAGCUGGGUAUAUCACCCUCUAACGACAAUCCUGCCAUCGAAAUGGUAUCUAGCUCGUUACCACAACUAGAGGAAAGUAUGGAUGUUGAAUAUGAAGUUUGUCAGCAGGAAGAAAUUGACAUUGAAGAAGAUCAACUGGAGUCUAAAUCUGCGACUUCCCUCCCUGUUUUAUGCAUAGAGCAUGGGAGUGCGAUCUUGAAGUUCUCUGAAGUUUUUGGCGUACAGGAGCCUGUAAGAAAAGCCAAGACAGAUCACCAUAAGCGGCCAGUGAGUAAAGAUGUCCGGAUCACAAACAUCUCUGACAUUGUUGAAGAUGACGAGGAAGUAUUUCUAAGGUGUGCUAUUCAAGAUGUCUCAUCUUUGAAGCAUAUCAAGAUGAAUGAAGAUUUGGUUGAGAGUGACAGUGAUGAGUUAAUUUCUAGUGAUACUUUUGGGUUUAAAGAUUCGUGCCUUUCUGAACAACCAAUGAAGGAAGCACACAAAGAUUUCCCUACUGCUCAACAAGCUCCAGUUUGUCCUGAUGUUUAUCCACUUGAGCACGAAGACUGGGAAAAUGGUAUCAUUUGGGGCAAUUCACCAGCAAGUGAAAGUCGGCCUUGUUUAAAAAGCUGUGUAAUAUCUGAAGAGAGCUCUGAUACUCACAGCGAAGACGAGGCUAAGGAUUAUGGUUAUGUGUCCAGGUAUUGUGAUGUACAGAGUAGAAAUAAUGGCUCUCCAGAGCCUUUUGGAUUUACAGAAAUGCCUGCUUCAGCUAGUUGUCAUUCCCCUGAGAAUAGUUACCCUCCAUUGACAAAGGAGACUCGUCUGGAGAAGAAUGACCUAGACCAUGCAGAACCAAAUAACAUAAAUGGAGCAGUUAAAAUCGCUACAAUGAAGUGUUUAAGCAACCUCUCUCUACUGAACAAGGAACUGUUGGAAGGAUCUUGGUUGGACAACAUAAUUUGGGAUCACAGUGAGGAUGCUCCUAAGCCUAAGCUAAUCAUGGACCUGAAAGAUGACCAGAUGCUUUUUGAGAUUUUAGAUGAAGAGAAUGGGAAUCACCUCCGCUCUCAUGCUUUUGCAAUGAUUGUUAGUCGGUCAGUGAGGACUUCAACAGUGGAAAAUUUUGGCCAUAAGAACCAAAUAAUUACAUUCGAUGGCCAAUUCAACAUCUCCAAUGACAAAUUUUAUUCCAACAAGGAGAUUUCACAGCAAGCUAAAUCUCAUACUAAAAAGCGUUCUUCAAUGGGCGUAAAGGUGGUACACUCUGUUCCUGCUCUGAAGCUGCAGACCAUGAAGCUAAACCUGAGCAUUAAUGAAAUUGCAAAUUUCCAUAGACCAAAAGCUAAGUGGUACCCCCAUGAAAAUAAACUUGCUGUUGAGUUGCAAGGAGUUGCUUGUAGUCAUGGGUCAAUGACUGUUAUAGUACUGACUUUGGGAGGAAAAGGAGUGAAACUUCUCGUCAAUGCAGAGGAAACUCCACUAUCAGUAAAAUCAAAAGCUUCCAAGAAAUUAGAAUUCCGACCAUCUGAAAAGAUCAAAUUGUUUGGUUCUGGAAAAGAACUUGAGGAUGACAUUUCCUUGGCCAUGCAAAACGUGCGGCCAAACUCUAUUCUGCAUGUUGUUCGCACUGAAGUACAUCUAUGGCCGAAAGCACAGAGGUUACCUGGCAAGGACAAGGCUCUACGUCCUCCAGGGGCAUUCAGGAAAAGAUCUGACUUGUCCGUUAAGGAUGGACAUGUAUUUUUGAUGGAAUACUGCGAGGAGAGACCUUUACUACUCGCAAAUGCAGGAAUGGGUGCUCGACUCUGUACGUACUACCAGAAAACUUCACCUGAUGAUCAGACAGCUACAUCCCUGCGAAGCAACAAUCAUGGACUGGGCACAGUGCUUGCUAUUGAGCCUGCUGGUAAAUCUCCUUUUCUGGGAGAUGUACGCUCUGGGUCCCAUCAAUCAUGUCUUGAGACAAACAUGUACAGAGCACCUGCAUUUCCUCAUAAGGUGGCAUCGACUGAUUAUCUUUUAGUUCGUUCGCCAAAAGGGAUGCUUUCUCUUCGCCGCAUUGACAAGCUAUAUGCUGUUGGCCAACAAGAACCACAUAUGGAAGUAUUUUCACCACGACCGAAAAAUCUGCAGAAUUAUCUUUUGAAUCGGAUACUCGUAUAUGUAUAUCGUGAAUUCCGUGUGAGGGAGAGGCCUGGUGUUCUUUCUCAGAUUCGAGCUGAUGAAAUACCUAUUGAGCAUCCUCUGACAGAUGUUAUUAUGAGAAAAGGAUUGAAGCAUUGUGCAGACCUGGAGAAAAGACCCAAUGGACAUCUUUUCUGGACACAGAGAGCUGACUUUCGAAUUCCGUCAGAGGAUGAACUUAGAAGAAUGUUGUCACCAGAAAGUGUCUGCUGUCAUGAGAGUAUGCAAGCUGCUCAGCAUCGUCUCAAGCAUUUAGGAAUCCACAAGCUUACCCAGCCUGUGGGACUGGCUUCCGCAAUGGAUCAGCUUCCCGAUAAGGCAAUUGAGCUUGCUGCUGCAGCACAUAUUGAGAGGGAAUUGCAAAUCACUAGCUGGAGCCUUACCAGUAAUUUUGUUGCUUGUAUGAACCAGGACAGAGAAAAUAUAGAAAGGCUAGAAAUCUCUGGUAUUGGUGAUCCAUCUGGCCGUGGGCUAGGAUUUAGCUAUGUGAGAGUAAAUCCUGUCUCCAAUUUACCUCAUAAGAAAAAGCCGGCUGCAGCCAAAGGCACCACUGUUACUGGGACGGAUGCUGAUCUUCGCAGGUUGAGCAUGGAUGCCGCCCGAGAGUUGCUUCUCAAAUUCGGCGUUCCAGACGAACAAAUUGAUAAAUUAACAAGGUGGCAUCGAAUUGCUAUGGUGAGGAAGCUUUCAAGUGAGCAAGCAGCGUCAGGAAUUAUGAUUGAUGAAAUUCCAGUUAGCAAGUUUGCACGUGAACAAAGGAUGUCUUUUCUGCAGCUUCAUCACCAAGCUAAAGAGAAAUGUCAGGAAGUUUGGGACAGACAAUUUCAGUCACUUUCUGCCAUAGACGAUGAUGACAAUGGCAGUGAUACAGAAGCCAACAGCGAUUUCGACUCGUUUGCUGGGGAUCUUGAAAACUUACUGGAUGCUGAAGAAUUUGACAAUGAAGAUGUUGGUAAUGCAGAUCUGAGAAGUGAUAAAGGAAACGAUAUGGAAGGGCUUAAAAUGAGAAAAUUCUCUACUCGAGUCCAAUUUAACGAGGAAGAUGAUCAGGCAGAAGCUGCUCUAGUAAAAAAAUUGCUCGAAGAGAGUGGUAAUGACAUAAAGGGGAAGAAACAACCUGUGGAAAUGACAAAUUAUGGCACCUCUAUGUAUAACCAGGGUGCCAAUAAAACGAAGCCCAGGCAAAGUGCAUUGACCCUAGAGGAGAGCACGCCAAGAGUUGUGAAAGAGGAAAAGAGGCAGGGAGCAAAGGGGGACCAACAAACUUUGUGUCUUGUCUGUGGAGCUUGUGGAAAGCUUGGGCACAUGCGGACCAACAAACUUUGCCCCAAGUAUGGGCAGGAUCCAGAAACCUCAGGAUUGGAUGUGAUUUCCUACAGAUCUAAUCCUCUUGAUGAAGCAAGUCAUGUUCAAACAACGAAGCCACCGGGCAGGAGGUUGGUAGCCAAGGUUUCUUCUGAAGUUCCUGAAACUGAAGGGCCCGAUUGCAUCGAAAAGAUCAAACCAGUAAGAUUCAGAUGUGGCGCACCUGAGAAGUCCUUGGAGAGGAAUAUGUCAGUGGCAGGUUCUUUGGUUUCUGAUAAACUCACAAUGGAUGCUAAUGAUUUGAGAUCUACUGGAAAUGUGAGCAAAAUUAAAAUAUGCAGUAAGACCAAGUCUGAAGACUAUCCUCCUGACACUCCUAAGCCAUCUAUCGUGAUACGGCUUUGUGCUAAGGCAGAAAAGGAUGUACCUCGUAAGAAGGUCAUUUUCAAGCAGCCUGAAGGGCAUGUAGGCCAGCUAACAGCUAUCGAAAAUAGGAGUGGUCAGGAACCCAGAAAGCUAAGGAAAAUUUCUGAAUUGCCAAGUUUUAAAGAGAACAUCAGAGAGAAUGAUGGUUGGUAUGCUGGAGAGCCCUGCCAAAUGAAUUCUUCGCAGGAUAGGUUGGGUCUGGAUGGUAACAGGAAAAGCAAAGUAGUAGGAAGUGAUGAAUCCUGGAGUGCUUUUAAAGAGCAGCGAGUGAUGCAGGAACAGAGGCUAAUUCAAGCUAGGAUGCAAGAAGUAAGCAGGGAGGAAGAGCUCCAGAAGUCAAAGAGGAAAAACAAGAAAAAGAAAAGACACGAAUUUCGAGAUGACGACGUUCUUGAUCACAGGCCGUACAGAAAUGACAGAAGGGUACCUGAAAGAGAUCGAGCAACAAAGAGACGUACCCCAGCUGAUAUGGCAGAAAAUGCUCCAUCGGCCAAGCGGCGCAGAGGAGGAGAGGUUGAGCUCUCCAACAUACUGGAUAAGAUAGUUGACCACUUGCGGAACCAAACUUCCAUAUCGUUGCUGUUUCUUAAACCAGUGACGAAGAAAGUCGCUCCCGAUUACUAUGACGUAAUCCAGCGCCCAAUGGAUCUGGGCACCAUCAGGGACAAGGCGAGGAAGAUGGAGUACAGAAACAGGGAGGAAUUCAGGCAUGACGUUGCACAGAUAGCAACGAACGCGCACAUUUACAAUGACACGCGGCAUCCUCACAUCCCUCCGCUGGCCGACCAGCUCCUGAAGAUCUGCAAUCGCCUUCUCGAGGAAAGCGCGGAUGCGCUCAACGACGCCGAAAGUGCGAUCGAGGGGCUAGCGCAGUAACAAGAUACUACCUAACGUAGGCUGCUGAUCCGUAGCGAGGGGAGGGAUGGCGCACUUGUACAUUCCUUUUAGCUUCAUCCCAGUUAUUUUUGCCCGUUUCUUCCUAUUAGGCGCUGGGAGUCAGAAAAAUACAUACGAGGUAAAAAAAAUUUGGGGAGUGUAGACAAGCUCUAGGUUAGCCGCAGAGGCUCCGCUGUAACUAUUUGGCCUCUUGCUGUAAAAAUGUAGCGGUAUAACUUUUGUGAAUAUUCAGAUGGUGUAGUUGUACGUCCUGGAUAUAUAGAUGUAGAAAUGGUAAGCAAAGCACGUGCCUGGGGUUGCACCUGGUCUGGUCUAAUCACUGAUGUUUGAAUCGGCAAUGGUAUGGUGGGUGAAGGUUAUUGCGUGAUGACAGGUUAUAUAUACUGUGCAGAAUGUCCAAAGUCAAAGCGUGUGGAUUGGGGUUAUAUAUAAUGUACAGGUUGCUUACCUGCCUCUCUAUACUUUUAACAUUGCUUGAGCUGCUGAAUGAGAUGUGCAUGCUUUGAAUGGAGACUUGUGACCAGGCCUGAUGAUGUAACGGAGAAGUAACCAUCUUUUUAACAAUGUUCUACUAACUGAGACCUUUUCUCUUAUUACUUGAUGUGAUGGCAUAAAAUGUGAUUAUGCCGGGGAUGUUG